Molecule: long non-coding RNA, 3020 nt
Filed under: Thrips palmi
Lineage: Eukaryota; Metazoa; Arthropoda; Insecta; Thysanoptera; Thripidae
Description: uncharacterized LOC117645656
Source: RNAcentral
CUGACUUUGUCAUAGGUAGUGAUUGUCAUGCAUCUUCAAAUGAAGUGCAUUGCUUAAAUUUUGAUAUUUGUAUUUUGCUCAUUUUUCUUAUGCAAGAUACAUUAUGUUAUACAUGGCAUAUAGCAGAGGUCAUGGUUUGUUAAACUUAUUCAAUUUUAAAUAGUUUUUAUCUUUUCCAUUUUAUUCUUGAGAAAACAGGAUUGGCCUGUCAAGAAUCUCACUAGUUUGCCUAAGAUCUCAACUUAUCAUUUGAUUAAUGUCUCUUCUCGACACAUCACCCUUGUUGUUACUAAAAACUGCAAAUAUUAUACAGUAUUAUUAUUUUUCUUAGGUGUAAUGCAAGUACAAAAAAUGUUACCAAGUAUAUUCUAUUUACUAACAAGUUGGCUGGGCCACCUGUUAUGAAAUCCAACCAUUUUACUAUUUGUAUGUGUUUAAGAAAUUGUAUUGAUGCCUGAAAAGUUGCCAGUGUUCAUUCCUUGUUUAGCUGUGAGAUUGUGCUGUGCACAUAAUGCAGUACUGUCCAACAGAAUUUUUCAGGUAGCUAUUUCAGGCAAGAGCCCUGAAAUAUUUUCUCUUUUGUGUUGGCUAUUUUCAUCUUGGAUUUUUGAUGCAGCUCCUCUCUCAAAUCUCCGUUCCUAAAGUCAUAAACUUUUCUGAGAGCACUUUAACUUGAUUCCCAGACAGGAAUUUUAUAAACUAAAAGAACAGUUUAUGAACUACACACUGCUUACAUUUUUCAACCUGCCAUGGCUUAUCUGCCUCUUUUUGUUAAUGCCACAUACCACUUCAAUUAAUGUUGGGUAUUUGAAAAUAUUUUGUCUGCUAGUGUGAUGCUUUGCUGACACGAUCAUCCUCUUUUCUACCCUCUUUACUCCCACUCUUUUCUUGCUGAUUUCCUGAUUGAUGAUGAUGCUAAUAGAUCAAGUCUUCUACUUUAUUUUUUGGAAAAAUUUUCUUCACUUAAUCUGUCAGCAGCCUUUCCAGUAAAAGCUUAUUGUUCUUACUGUUGUUACUAUCUUGUGCUAAGAGUCAAAUUCUUUUAUCUUAUCUAAAUGCCAUCUUUUUGUACAUUGGCCUUCAUGCUGUUAUUGCGACAUGAUGGUUGGACUGAAAACUCAAAGUAGUAAAUUUGUGGGAAUCUCCACCCCCCUCAAAUAGGACAUUGUCUUAAAUUUUUAAGAGGUAUCCACAACUAAAAUCUUAAAUUAAUUUGCAUUGACAGAGUUCUGAAGUUUUCUUUUAAGUAUUUACAGUCAUACCUGCUUUGUUUAAAAUGUUUGUCAAAAUUUGAUGUUAAUUCCUGUAAGAGAAUUCUCUUUGAUCUCUCCUAUGCUAGAUCCUAGAGCGAAGCUACAGUAUAGAAACCUGCUCACUUCCCUCAAGCAGUGGUCUCUUGCUUCACCCUAGGGGCAAGAGACAUCACAGUCCAUUUAUUCACCUCAGAAGCAGGUUCAACUGUAGAAGGCUUCCUUAUGUUAACAUACAUAUUGCAUUGGCAGAAAACUCAAAAGAAUGAAAGCCAUCAUCUUCUGACAGUUUACCUUUAAAAAUCAAGACUUGUUCAAAAGUGUACUUUUUUUCCUCACAUCACCUAAAAAAUUUGCUCAAAAACUAUUUUUUCUUUUUUUUAGAGCUUGUGCCUUGCAGAGGUGGAGGACAUGCUUAUUUGUUUGUGUGAUUGAUAUUUAAAAGUUAAGAUACUGUACGGUUUUGGUGUGUUUUAUUUAAUAUUAAAUAUUUCUAUCCAGUCAAAUUCCAUUACGUUGUUUUGUGGUCUUCACAACCAACGGUUUAGUCACUUAUCUUGCUUAGAGCAUUUUUGUAAAACUUUAUCAACAUAACAAAAUCAAGCAUUCUUAGCUUACAUUUAAAUGCUAUUGCACCUUUUUUUAACACUUAAGAACUUUUUUCUAUUAUCCUAAAUGAUCAAAGUCAGAUAAAAUUGUAAUCUUAAAUGUGUGAGUUUGUUUUCAUAUCGUUUUGUUAAGUUGUAUUUGUGAUCUGUGAUAUUUCUUUGUUUUCAAGCAUCUUGCACACUUCAUUUUAUUUCUUGUCCAAGUUCUUGUAUUUGUGUUUAUUCUUUGUUUUCUAUUAUGAAGUUCGACUCAUGUCUAUUGUACAUGUUACUGUUGGAAGUAGGAGGGAGGUUGCACCUAGAUGUAACCAGUUCAAAGUAGGUUGAACCAAACCAAUUUGGUUACAAGUGGAGCAACCUACUUGUAUCCAGUAAUCGGCCAGCUACAACUAGGUUGAACCAGUACAUUUCUGUUUUUAGCACUUGUAACCAAUCACAGUCGGUUGGAAGUAGUUGGAAGUGUUCAUAAUUGGUAAAUGCAUAGACAGGGAGGGCAACGUAGGGGACAACAAUUACAAUAUUGACAAGCGACUGACAAGACUAACAAAACUGUGCGCCACAGAAAAGUCAAAUUUGGCUGGUUUCGGCACUGGCGUAGGGGCAAAAUUCCAAAUUAUUCUAAAUAUAGUACAGAAAAUGGUUGACCAGCUGAGGUUUGACGCGUGGGUGAAACAAGAGCAAAGGUUGCAGGUAUCCAGGGCUUUCUUGUAAUAGCUAAUGCCACAACAGUCUCCCAUGCUCCAACAAGGGAUAUGCUGUCACUAAAUCAAAACAAUGACCGUCCAGCUGUUCCAAACUGGUUCCAAAAAGGAAACAUUGCAAAAAAUUUGUUCCAAAAAGAAAACAGUGUAAUAAUAACUUUGAGAAAUAAAGGUUUCAGUCUUCCACCCACAUCCAACCAAACAAAAUCCUGCUUGACACUUUCAACCACUGACAUGUAGUUACAACUACUUCCAACGCAAAAUAUUUGGAUGCAAAUAGGUGGCUUCACUUGUAACCAGAUUGGUUUGGUUCAACCUACUUUGAACCGGUUACAUCUAGGUGCAACCUACCUCCUACUUCCAACAGUAACAUACAUACUCUUAAAAAAUAUUUGUAUUUUACAUGUUCUAUUAUAGCUCGUUUAAAUUUUUUAUUAAAAGCCAUACGGGCGUCAUUUCUA